This 266-nucleotide long non-coding RNA is filed under the name Sorghum bicolor (sorghum). Its description in RNAcentral is "long non-coding RNA (SBIC_LNC010781)". The record is from RNAcentral. Lineage: Eukaryota; Viridiplantae; Streptophyta; Magnoliopsida; Poales; Poaceae.
CCAAGGCCGCUCUUGACCGUGAGCACGGCUAGUAUACCAGUUUUAACACUCUGCAGAGGUUGUACAUCUUUAUCCAUGAGUCAUGAUUUACCCUUUCACCCGAGGCCCGUCGAUCUCUUAACCCACUACCAAGGAAGGUCGGUAGGGAUCACUAUGAAGUCUUUCAAAAGUUCGUCUAACAUGUUAGGGCCGCAAGGUUUCCUUUGCACGCAGAUAUAGAGCCCCCUUCCGAUGGCACAAUGACUCGCAGCCUAUACACAUACAGA